GGUUGUGGCUCAGCGGUAGAGCACUUGCCUGGCAUGUAUGAGGCCCUGGGUUCAAUCCUCAGCACCA
Molecule: transfer RNA, 67 nt
Filed under: Ictidomys tridecemlineatus (thirteen-lined ground squirrel)
Lineage: Eukaryota; Metazoa; Chordata; Mammalia; Rodentia; Sciuridae
Description: Spermophilus tridecemlineatus (thirteen-lined ground squirrel) tRNA
Rfam family: tRNA
About the family: Transfer RNA (tRNA) molecules are approximately 80 nucleotides in length. Their secondary structure includes four short double-helical elements and three loops (D, anti-codon, and T loops). Further hydrogen bonds mediate the characteristic L-shaped molecular structure. tRNAs have two regions of fundamental functional importance: the anti-codon, which is responsible for specific mRNA codon recognition, and the 3' end, to which the tRNAs corresponding amino acid is attached (by aminoacyl-tRNA synthetases). tRNAs cope with the degeneracy of the genetic code in two manners: having more than one tRNA (with a specific anti-codon) for a particular amino acid; and 'wobble' base-pairing, i.e. permitting non-standard base-pairing at the 3rd anti-codon position.
Source: Rfam by way of RNAcentral